GACAGAGGGUGCAAGCGUUGUUCGGAAUUACUGGGCGUAAAGCGCGUGUAGGCGGCUCUGCAAGUCGGAUGUGAAAGCCCUGGGCUCAACCUAGGAAGUGCACUCGAAACUGCAGAGCUUGAGUCUCGGAGAGGAUCGCGGAAUUCUCGGUGUAGAGGUGAAAUUCGUAGAUAUCGAGAGGAACACCGGUGGCGAAGGCGGCGAUCUGGACGAUGACUGACGCUGAGACGCGAAAGCGUGGGGAGCAAACAGG
Molecule: ribosomal RNA, 253 nt
Filed under: uncultured bacterium
Lineage: Bacteria
Description: partial 16S ribosomal RNA
Rfam family: Bacterial small subunit ribosomal RNA
Source: RNAcentral